GCCGCUGCCAGGGAGGAAAUAAUGCUGGCCAUACAGUUGUUGUGCAUUCUGUGGAGUAUGAUUUUCAUCUCUUACCCAGUGGAAUAAUUAUUCCAAAUGUUACUGCAUUCAAUGGAAAUGGUGUGGUAAUUCAUCUACCUGGAUUGUUUGAAGAAGCAGAGAAAAAUGUUCAAAAAGGAAAAGGACUAGAAGGCUGGGAAAAAGGCUUAUUUUAUCUGACAGAGCUCAUAUUGUAUUUGAUUUUCAUCAAGCCGCUGAUGGUGUCCAGGAACAACAGAGACAAGAACAAGCAGGAAAAAAUUUGGGUACAACAAAAAAGGGCAUUGGC
Molecule: long non-coding RNA, 328 nt
Filed under: Homo sapiens (human)
Lineage: Eukaryota; Metazoa; Chordata; Mammalia; Primates; Hominidae
Description: non-protein coding lnc-SLFN12L-2:2
Source: RNAcentral